CUGCUGCCUCCCGUAGGAGUCUGGGCCGUAUCUCAGUCCCAAUGUGGCCGGCCAACCUCUCAGUCCGGCUACUGAUCGUCGCCUUGGUAGGCCGUUACCCUACCAACUAGCUAAUCAGACGCGAGGCCAUCUCUCAGCGAUAAAUCUUUGGUAUCCAUGCCAUGCGACACAAAUACGUUAUGCGGUAUUAGCAGUCGUUUCCAACUGUUGUCCCCCACUGAAAGGCAGGUUCCUCACGCGUUACUCACCCCG
This 252-nucleotide ribosomal RNA is filed under the name uncultured bacterium. RNAcentral describes it as "partial 16S ribosomal RNA". The record is from RNAcentral.